Molecule: ribosomal RNA, 258 nt
Filed under: uncultured bacterium
Lineage: Bacteria
Description: partial 16S ribosomal RNA
Rfam family: Bacterial small subunit ribosomal RNA
Source: RNAcentral
AACGGGUGAGUAACGCGUGAGGAACCUGCCUCAAAGAGGGGGACAACGAGUUGGAAACGACUGCUAAUACCGCAUAAGCCCACGGGUCGGCAUCGACCGAGAGGGAAAAGGAGCAAUCCGCUUUGAGAUGGUCUCGCGUCCGAUUAGCUAGUUGGUGAGGUAAUGGCCCACCAAGGCGACGAUCAGUAGCCGGACUGAGAGGUUGAACGGCCACAUUGGGACUGAGACACGGCCCAGACUCCUACGGGAGGCAGCAUG